UUGUAAUUGUAAAAAUAGAUUAUUAAUGGCAUAACAGUGUAUAGAAAGUAUGACUUCCAGUGAAAUAAUCAAAGAUUGUUCGACAGGAACUAAUUUAAAUUGGGAUGAAGAAGAACUUAAACUAUUUAAAGAGCUUGUUCUCGAAGACAAAGAUUUAAAGUGCAGAACGGAUGAUAUUUUCCUUUUAAGUUUUUUGCGUGCGAAGAAAUUCGAUAGGGAAAAAGCAUUUAUUUUAUUAAAGAAUUAUUAUGAAGUUAGAAGAAGAAUUUAUAAAGAUUUUUUUACAAAUUUAACUCCUUCUGCUGUAAGUAAAUGUUUAAAUGAUAAAAUUGUCGGCUAUCUACCCAAUACCGAUCAAAAUGGACGGGUCAUUGGAGUUCUAAUAGUUCGUCGAUGGAAUCAUAACACUGUUUCGCCAUUAGAUGUGUUACGAACGAUGAUAAUCGGUAACGAUUUGUUACUCAACGAACAUUUAUUGCAGAUUAAUGGAUUAACAAGUAUAAUUGAUGCAAAAGAUGUUACUUUAAGACAAGUAUUCCAUGCAACACCAAGAAUGAUAUCUUUAGCAGUAUCAGCUCUCUAUAAAUCCUAUCCUAUAAGAUAUAAAGAAUUUCACAUCAUCAAUAACAAUAAGUUAAUAAAAAUUGCAUUUGGAUUAGUUUUACCUUUUUUGCCUUAUAAAAUUAAGAAACGUAUUUAUAUCCAUAAUUCGGAUUUUAAUACCUUACACAAAUUUAUCGAUCCAAAAUAUCUUCCUAGUGAUUUUGGAGGGGAAUUAUCGGAGUAUGAUCCAUCGCAUUUUUACGAAAAAAUGAAAUUGUAUCAAUCGUUCUUUGAAGAAAAUGAAAAAUAUUGGAAAAAUUAGAAUAAAAGAGUGAUUCUUUUUAUUAAAAUUCAAUUCAAUCGAUAAAAUUCUCACUCUCUCAAGAAAACAACUAAUCGUUUUAUAGCAUCAGUAAUAGUCUGAAACUCUUCUGUAACAUUCUGCAUUUGUAACAUCAUCAAUAACAACUAAUAUUCUUCAGAGCAUCAGUAACAACUACAGUUGCCAACGUUCUUGUACAGAAUUUAAGACACUUCACGGUCACUGUAUGAUUGAGGACAUUGAUAACAAAGUAAUUUGUUAUAAAUAUUUGUUGACUAAUUAAAUUAUAAAACAUUAAAAUAAACAAUAAAUAAGAUUUAAAUUCAACAUUAGCAUUUUUACCAACAACGCUAGCUUAAUUGUAGUAUUUAAGUGUUGUGUAAUAAAAAUAUUAAAAGUAUUGUGUUCACUUGUGUAUCACAAUAAAGAAAGUUUUUAGUACUGAUGUCCUCAAUAUCAGUAUACAUUGUUCUAUCAGAGACAGUGUACGUAGCGUAUAUAAUUAAAAUACGGGUAUAUACAGUAUAUUAUUUAUCUUUUCAGCUGUAAAAAUGUCAUUUCAAUUGAAUUCGAAAUAGCAAAAAGAUUAGACGGGACACUUUAAUUAAUGGCACAUAAGAAUUACGACAAAUUGUAAAUACUCGUACAUUAAUUAAUUAUUAAUUCAUCGGAAAAACGAUGAGGGCAGGAGAAUGACGAAGAAAAGUGAAACUUGUUAUGAACGGAAAGUACUGUAUCUUAGUGAAAAAGACAAUAAAAGGCACAUUGUUAGGGUUCCAGAAAACCAUUUCGAACGCUGGAAAAAAUUAAUUCCACAUGAAAAUAAGGAAUUAACUACAAAGGCUCGUAUAUGUGACAAGCAUUUUAAAAAUCAAUUUUUAAUAAAAUCAUUCAGUCACACAAUCGAUGGCCAAUUAAUGCAGCUUCCACGUGAUUAACCAUUAUAGUACCCUGAAAGCGACAGUGUCCAUCAGAGAGAAAAGCUGAAGUUGUCGCCAAGAAGAAACAAGUUGAUCUUUCAGGUACUAGGUCCACUUUACCUAAAAAUAUUGGAAACGAUAAUCUACUGCCUAGUACUUGUAAUGACAAUGAUAGACGUACAACAACAUAUACAAACUCAGAAACAAUCAGAAAAAAGUUAUAAAAAUGACCAAACUAAAGUGUGAGGAAGGAACUGUAUAAAGCCUUGUGAAGCAAAAGUUUUUACAAUUUACAUUUCAAACAUUUUUUUUAAAUAAACAGUUUAUUAGUUAAAACAAAAUCAAAAAAAUUGUAAAAAGCUUUAAAGUUUGGCAUAGAUGUAAGAAAA
This 2174-nucleotide unclassified non-coding RNA is filed under the name Centruroides sculpturatus (bark scorpion). RNAcentral's name for it is "clavesin-2-like, transcript variant X1". The record is from RNAcentral. Lineage: Eukaryota; Metazoa; Arthropoda; Arachnida; Scorpiones; Buthidae.